GUGAUGAGAGUCAAAUGCUCUGUUCCCACCAUUAUCAUUUGCUACCUAUGGGAAGUGAGAAAGCGUGACCUAGGUCAUGAGAGUGGGAGACCAGACUCUGUUCCUCAUUUGCCACAGCAUUCAGGAGAGCUGGCACUUGCUGCAGGUUGACAGCGGAACCCAGACACUUAGGGUAUGGCAUUAGAAAGCCAUGGUUCUUAGAAAUUCAGAUACCUCUCAGGCCUGGAUGCAGGGCUUAAAAUUGGCCCACCCAAACAUCUAUUCCACUGAUGAACUGUUGGAAUACAUGGUCAUACAGUACCUUCCUGACAGAGGGCAACAGCUUGGUUGGUUUGUAAGUGCUUUGGUGGAGUGCAUAGUGGAAGUGAACAUUUUCUAUUCCAGAGCCUAAUUCAAGUGUACAAUUUGUAUCUUGUCCUUUUAGAGACUACCACUUAACUAUGAGUGCCCUGAGACCAUUCUGUGUGACAAGAAAUAUACAGAAAGAGAGAAGGGGAAGCAAGAAAAUGGUACCCUCAGCACCCUCGUUGACACAGCACUAUAUAAAGGCCAGGUGUUUUGAAGCUGAAAACAAUCCAGAGGACCCACAAGAGAAGAUUGGAUACAGAAAACUGUACACAUUCUAUACACAAUGAAAUAUUAGUCAGUUAUUACCAA
Non-coding RNA from Rattus norvegicus (Norway rat), 657 nucleotides. Lineage: Eukaryota; Metazoa; Chordata; Mammalia; Rodentia; Muridae. The record is from RefSeq and is a predicted model, not a curated record.